Molecule: ribosomal RNA, 484 nt
Filed under: uncultured bacterium
Lineage: Bacteria
Description: partial 16S ribosomal RNA
Rfam family: Bacterial small subunit ribosomal RNA
Source: RNAcentral
AUUGAACGCUGGCGGCAGGCUUUACACAUGCAAGUCGAACGGCAGCGCAGUCUUUGCCCUCUCGGCGGGGUGCGAACUGGUGAGCAGUACAUCGGAACGUGCCCAGUUGUGGUGGAGAGCUGGGCGAAGUCGGGAUUAAUACCGCAUAACAGCUGAGGGUGUAAGCGGGGAAUCUUCGGACCUCGCGCUAUUGGAGGGUCCGAUGGCCGGUUAGCUAGUUGGUGGGGUAAAGGCCUACCAAGGCGACGAUCCGUAGCUGGUCUGAGAGGACGAGCAGCCACACUGGGACUGAGACACGGCCCAGACUCCUACGGGAGGCAGCAGUGGGGAAUUUUGGACAAUGGGCGCAAGCCUGAUCCAGCAAUGCCGCGUGUGUGAUGAAGGCCUUCGGGUUGUAAAGCCCUUUUGGCGGGAAAGAAAAGCACUGUGUCAAUACCCCGGUUCGAUGACGGUACCCGCAGAAUAAGCACCGGCUAACUACGUG